This is a long non-coding RNA of Aedes aegypti (yellow fever mosquito), 944 nucleotides long. RefSeq lists it as uncharacterized. The transcript is spliced from 2 exons. The record is from RefSeq and is a predicted model, not a curated record. Lineage: Eukaryota; Metazoa; Arthropoda; Insecta; Diptera; Culicidae.
GGGGGUGAGAAACUCGGCUCACUGUGCCCGGCACACUUUUCUGCACAGCACCGCACUUCUGGGCACACUUCCUAUAUUUUUUUUUUCUGCAGGAUUAGAUUUGACAGCUAAAACUUUGUUGUUGUUCGCCCCGGCUCAACAAGCUUGUUUGAGUCGAAACAAAUCGCAAUGAACACUGCCAUCGAGAACGAGAUAUUCAAAGCAAAUAGCUUCCUAAACAUUUCCAAAAUCUUCUGUCUGAACAAAAAAUCCAGGUUGACCAGCAAUUUGUCAAACUAUGAAACUUCAUAAAUGCCCAUCGGAACUUUCCGAAUUGGUGAAUCUCCUGCUAUACCGUCCAAUGGAAGGGACCGUCGAGGGGACUAUAAUUGACGACCAACGAUCGUGUUACUCCAUAAGCAUGCUACUUUGCUAUGAAAGAUUCAGCCCUGUACGGCUGCGCUUAGUAGGUCUCCGCCCUGGUCUCCGCUGAUAAUGAAGCAGAAAACCGAAAGAGACAGGCAGAGGAACAACAGGCAUCCGGUUUAUCCCGCGGGAAAGAAAAUAAAGACAGAUACGUGCUAAUAUGUGGCGGGAGAGAGUAAAUCCGCUGCUAGUAAAGGCAAAGCAACUGAGGAAGAAGUUACGGAGGAGUUGGCAAAUUAUCUCGCGAAAAACAUGUGUUAGUAAUUGAUAAGAUUAGUUUCUGAUCGUUAAUAAAUAAUUAUUCAAAAUAUUAAUACUAACAAAUUCAACCUUACGUUCAAGAUGCCAUUAAUAGCUAGACAACAGAUUUUUAUUAUUGAUUUGCUGAAAAACAUUAGCAGCGCCAUGCUACGGUCACGUACCAUCUCGUAAACGAUCUCUCAGCUGUCUCGAUCGCUUCUUGUCUGGUGAUAUCCAUAGUACCCUCGUCAGGUCAAUGCUUAGCUCAUCGGUGCCGGAGGCAUUGUAGAUUGGCAAGA